AUGGCAACCACUUCCAACAGAUUUUCCUUGAUCAUGGGAUCAUUUAUUUCUCCUGUUCCUGUUCACUCUGAUGAUGAGGAUCCUCCAGUUGUCAGGUUUAGUGGCAUUAGGCCAAAUAAGGAGAAGGCACACCAGCAGCAAGAAGAGCAGACACAACAACAGCAAGAGGAGCAGGCUCAGCAUGAUCAAGUUGAACAGGAGCUGCAUCAGCAUGAUCAAGAGCAUGAGCAUGAUCAAGAGCAUGAGCAAGAUGCCGAGUCAGAAAGUGUAGCAGAUUCAGAAGAAGAUCAUUUCAUACCAAGUCCACCCCAGCCUGGAACUACUUACCUUUCAUCUCAGUUUGGGUUUAGGGCCAGGAAAUCCUCUAGGUUUUUGAACAUGGAUGCAGCAGACACAGUUGGUUGUUCAGUAAUGCAUGAUUCAGAUGAAGAUUACAUUCCAUAA
RNAcentral lists this ribosomal RNA (444 nucleotides) under Triticum aestivum (bread wheat). Its description in RNAcentral is "partial small subunit ribosomal RNA". Lineage: Eukaryota; Viridiplantae; Streptophyta; Magnoliopsida; Poales; Poaceae. The record is from RNAcentral.